GUCACGCUGUAAACGAUGUCGAUUUGGAGGUUGUUCCCUUGAGGAGUGGCUUCCGGAGCUAACGCGUUAAAUCGACCGCUGGGGAGUACGGCCGCAAGGUUAAAACUCAAAUGAAUUGACGGGGGCCCGCACAAGCGGUGGAGCAUGUGGUUUAAUUCGAUGCAACGCGAAGAACCUUACCUACUCCUGACAUCCAGAGAAUUUAGCAGAGAUGCUUUAGUGCCUUCGGGAACUCUGAGACAGGUGCUGCAUGGCUGUCGUCAGCUCGUGUUGUGAAAUGUUGGGUUAAGUCCCGCAACGAGCGCAACCCUUAUCCUUUGUUGCCAGCACAUUAUGGUGGGAACUCAAAGGAGACUGCCGGUGAUAAACCGGAGGAAGGUGGGGAUGACGUCAAGUCAUCAUGGCCCUUACGAGUAGGGCUACACACGUGCUACAAUGGCGUAUACAAAGAGAAGCGACCUCGCGAGAGCAAGCGGGACUCAUAAAGUACGUCGUAGUCCGGAUUGGAGUCUGCAACUCGACUCCAUGAAGUCGGAAUCGCUAGUAAUCGUAGAUCAGAAUGCUACGGUGAAUACGUUCCCGGGCCUUGUACACACCGCCCGUCACACCAUGGGAGUGGGUUGCAAAAGAAGUAGGUAGCUUAACCUUCGGGAGGGCGCUUACCACUUUGUGAUUCAUGACUGGGGUGAAGUCGUAACAAGGUAACCA
Molecule: ribosomal RNA, 708 nt
Filed under: uncultured Providencia sp.
Lineage: Bacteria; Pseudomonadati; Pseudomonadota; Gammaproteobacteria; Enterobacterales; Morganellaceae
Description: bacterial SSU rRNA
Rfam family: Bacterial small subunit ribosomal RNA
Source: RNAcentral